UGGAUCUACCCAGAAGAUCUUGGCAUUCUGGGAUAGGGUGGAUCAGGAAGAAACACGAUGGGAGGGUAAAAGAAGAAGUGGAAGCGGAAAAAAGGAGACGAGUGAGCACUGACUAGAGAAUGAACCUGUAGAUGACUUUGCUGAUCAGUACUUCAUUUUCUCCAAGAAUUUAUUUCUGAAGAACUUAGAAUUAUUACAUCUGCCUCACUAAGUCAAAAUGCAUGUGUGAACCCAUCUUGCUAACAUCCUGGAUCUGAUGAAUACUUAAUAUUUCAG
Catharus ustulatus (Swainson's thrush) is the source of this 276-nucleotide long non-coding RNA. RefSeq lists it as uncharacterized. The transcript is spliced from 3 exons. The record is from RefSeq and is a predicted model, not a curated record. Lineage: Eukaryota; Metazoa; Chordata; Aves; Passeriformes; Turdidae.